UUGAGAGUUUGAUCCUGGCUCAGGAUGAACGCUGGCGGCGUGCCUAACACAUGCAAGUUGAGCGAUUUACUUCGGUAAAGAGCGGCGGACGGGUGAGUAACGUGUGGGUAACCUACCCUGUACACACGGAUAACAUACCGAAAGGUAUGCUAAUACGGGAUAAUAUAUUUGAGAGGCAUCUCUUAAAUAUCAAAGGUGAGCCAGUACAGGAUGGACCCGCGUCUGAUUAGCUAGUUGGUAAGGUAACGGCUUACCAAGGCGACGAUCAGUAGCCGACCUGAGAGGGUGAUCGGCCACAUUGGAACUGAGACACGGUCCAAACUCCUACGGGAGGCAGCAGUGGGGAAUAUUG
RNAcentral lists this ribosomal RNA (352 nucleotides) under Clostridioides difficile. RNAcentral describes it as "bacterial SSU rRNA". It matches the Rfam family "Bacterial small subunit ribosomal RNA", at positions 1 to 366 of the family's 1533-position model. The record is from RNAcentral. Lineage: Bacteria; Bacillati; Bacillota; Clostridia; Peptostreptococcales; Peptostreptococcaceae.